This is a long non-coding RNA of Scophthalmus maximus (turbot), 1029 nucleotides long. RefSeq lists it as uncharacterized. The record is from RefSeq and is a predicted model, not a curated record. NCBI's taxonomy places the organism in Eukaryota, Metazoa, Chordata, Actinopteri, Pleuronectiformes, Scophthalmidae. The transcript has 2 exons.
UGAUGAUGGCUGGACUCUGGUCCGACGUGGCAGACGCCGCCAGCUGUUUCGGGACCGGGAUGAUGGGGAUGGGUGGACGGCGAGUGCAUUUCCUGUUUCUUUCGGGAGACAGGUUCAGUUCCCUUUACCUACCCUAACCUUAAUUUUGAAAAUGUCCUAGAACUGUGGGAACAUACGGCCUAAUUUUCAGUGAAAUUUUUUUUUUUAGAAAUUUGUGAACAUAGGGGUGUGGGACCAUUUGACUGUGGGAACAUAGGGCUGACCCAGUUACCUGCCUCAGGAGGGUGGUGUACCAGAAUUUGUUUUUUAUUUCUUGGAAGCUUUUGGGUUCUGGUCCGGUUUUCAGGAGGACACAGUGUGUUUUGAAGAAAGCCUGCCUCCAAUCAAGAGGCAGGGUUUCUGCUAUUUUAUUACAAAGGGUUUCACAUUCUUUUUUCGAUUUCUUAAUUGCCUUUGAUUUUAUUGUCUUUGAUAUUUGCUCCUUAUUUUCCCUUCACUGAGCAUGUAAUUUAAGGUGUUGAUACCUGCUGCCGAUAGGGGGCUGCAGGAGAAGGAGCGGCCCAGGUUUGCGAGCUCUGGGUUGUGGAAGAUGGGGAGCUGUAGGAGCUGUGCUCUGUUUUCACAUCUGCCUUGAGGAGUGGUCGCACGAAUCCCCGGGCCUCAAACAUUUAUUUUUGGAAUGGAUGGAGCCCCCUGGAAAUGUCCCAGGUCCACUCCCAAGACCUUGACACUCUCCUGCCACCUGCCCGGCGACCGCACCACCCCGCCACAGUACAUGAUUCUGAUUUGUUAGUGUUGUUUUUUGCUCCUGAUGCUUUACUGUAAAUUGUAAUGUAUUAAUAUCCUAUCUAUACCGUCUUCAUCCUGUACUCUGAUGUUGGUGCAGUCUGCGUAUUGUAGGACUUUGUUUUGUGAUCCUGUGGGAGAUGUUAUGCCCUUGAUUUCUUUGUCCUGGUUAAUUAAGCAGGUGAGGUGGUUCGGCCGCCAGCUGCCUGUUUUCAGCAAACAAUAAAACAGACUUCAAAAUAA